Mauremys mutica (yellowpond turtle) is the source of this 2173-nucleotide long non-coding RNA. RefSeq lists it as uncharacterized. Lineage: Eukaryota; Metazoa; Chordata; Testudines; Geoemydidae. The transcript is spliced from 4 exons. The record is from RefSeq and is a predicted model, not a curated record.
GGGGAGUGUAGUGUUGUGAACUCCAAGCAUCCAGAAAUCACAAGUCAGGACUUGAAAAUCAUGAGAUUGGCUUCAAAUCAUCUUUUAAAAAAAUAAGUACAUUUUGGGUUCUUUGCCUUCUCAUGUCUGAGCCUUUUGGCCGCACUCAGGUUAGAUUUUCAAGCUUCUCUCCACAACUACACGGUCAAGAAACUCUCUUUCAACAAAAGCUGCAGUUCUCCUGUAAUCCCAUGACUCUGGGAGCUGGUGCUUUAAGGCAAACCCCAAAUAUCAUGAGAAUUGUGAUAAAAUCACCUAAAACGGCAACCCAGACACAACAAUGAACAGCAGUUCCUAUCUACAGGCAGCCCUAGAAAUUGUCAGGACAAUGAUGGGUGUUGGAUCAUGAUGGAAACAAAAUCUGUUUGUUAAAUACCAGGCAGGGGGUGUGCCAGACCCUCCCCCCUCACCGUGACAGAUGGAAACCACAGCUGGGCAGCGGGCAGCAAUGCAAUGUAGGCUCCAUAGAAGUUUAAUCCACCUGGGGCCUCUUGUGGAGCAGCUGACCCCAGCAGAGGACUCUGGAUCUCAAGAGCUCAUCGCAUGACAUCCAAACUCAUUUGAGAUGCCGGCUGCUUAUUCUGCCUCCUUCCUAAACACGUCCCCCCUGGAUUUGAUAUUGGCUUGUACAGUCUGACUCUCACAUGUGCCACAUUCCUGGAGGCUCAGAGGGAGGAGAAAGAAGAGGAAGGUUUGAGGAGCAGCAGAAGCGAUAACCGAAAGGCCACACCCUCUUUACAAUCCAGCCUCCAACUGCUGUCCCAGGAAGUAAAACUGGCCCGUCUGGCUACAGGGACCGUGUCACAUGCCAGAGCCCCCUCUGGAGUGGAACACCUCAGCUGGUCAGCGUCCUGCAACGGUGGUCCUCGGAAGAAUCCCCCAAGCACUCCGGUACCAGAGUGAUGGGAACAGUAUAAAAACCGAGUGGGUGAAGAGGAGAUCACUGCCACUGGGAGAGCUGAUAGGGAAGCGUGGGGGGUGACCUCCCUGUGGUGGGGUGACACCUCCUGGGGGUACUGAGGGUUGCAAGGCCCCUCGCUACCACCUGCCGUUAACAUGAGGAAGCCGGGUCUGUGCCUGUCAGGUAUGGAAUAAGAUCCCUUCCCCCAAGAGGCCCCCCCUUCAGAGACUCAUCUUGGGGUUCUUCUGUCUUUGCAAAUCCUCCGGCCCGCCCCUGGCCCAGACAGCAAAGAGAGCUUGUCGUUGUCUCGCGGGCGUCCGUUGUUUGAUAUGCUGACUGAGUUAGCCCUGGGACAUGCAAUCUACAUAUACCCAGACAGAAAAGGAGACGUAUCUGUUCCCUCCUGCAUGGGAACCUGCUUUACCUCACAGACCUUAAGACCACAAUGUUGAGUAUAGAGACAUAGCUCCUUAAAUAUCAUCUGUACGUACAUUUUGCCUUCGUCAUGCCGUGCCGUGCAUUGCUGGCUGUGGGUAGAGACCUCACAUGCCACCCUCUGGCGCGCUAGAAUGUAGAUAUCAGACCCACAGGAUCCCUGUAACCCUAUGCAUGCCUGUGCCCUCUGCCAGCUGGUACCAAGGGGUCACAAGCCCUCCCCUCCCCCGGACCCCUGGCAGCCUUUUGGUGUAUGUGCGGCACCUUUUCAAGCGUAUUAUGCGAUUGACAAAAGGAAGAAUGCCGAGUCGCAACACCCGGAAUGGGGAACCGGGCCCAGCGCCACAGGACAGGAGCCACCACGGCUAGGAGGGUGCUGGGUGGACUUGGCUUUCCUGCCCAUUGCCAAUGACCCAUCGCCCUGCCUGGUGCAAAGCCUGGCUCUGCCCCAGGCAGGACACUGGCAUUGCCACCUCCGUUCCUGUGAAAAGGGUCGGGGGGUUUUAACAGCCACAAACUGGCAAGACCUGAGAACCCUCCUGUGAUGCGGCAUCCGAAGGAGCCGGGGGCUCAGCCCUGUCUCAGGCGAGAUGAGCGCUGCUGCCUGCUGAGCCCCCAAAAGCCCCUUGCAGAAGCGACCUGGGAUUUGGCCUGGCAGUCGCCCAGCCAGCCUAGCUCCCGGCCUCUGAACUGAGAUCAGCAGCGCUGCGUCUGCAUGGGCAGUCCCGUGGGGCAGUUAAGGUCCCCUGCUGCUUAUCUCAGAUUCUCUCCUGUGAGGUGCUGUGGGUAAGGGGAGAG